RNAcentral lists this ribosomal RNA (113 nucleotides) under Salvia splendens (bonfire salvia). The record is from RNAcentral. Lineage: Eukaryota; Viridiplantae; Streptophyta; Magnoliopsida; Lamiales; Lamiaceae.
GCGAUCAUAUCAGCACUAAUGCAUCAGAUUCCAUCAGAACUCCGAAGUUAGUGUGCUUGGGCGAGAGUAAUACUAGGAUGGAUGACCCCUAUGAAGCCCUCAUGUUGCACCCC